Molecule: ribosomal RNA, 284 nt
Filed under: uncultured bacterium
Lineage: Bacteria
Description: partial 16S ribosomal RNA
Rfam family: Bacterial small subunit ribosomal RNA
Source: RNAcentral
AGGAAUCUUCCACAAUGGACGCAAGUCUGAUGGAGCAACGCCGCGUGAGUGAAGAAGGUUUUCGGACCGUAAAGCUCUGUUGUUGGUGAAGAAGGAUAGAGGUAGUAACUGGCCUUUAUUUGACGGUAAUCAACCAGAAAGUCACGGCUAACUACGUGCCAGCAGCCGCGGUAAUCGUAGGUGGCAAGCGUUGUCCGGAUUUAUUGGGCGUAAAGCGAGCGCAGGCGGAAGAAUAAGUCUGAUGUGAAAGCCCUCGGCUUAACCGAGGAAUUGCAUCGGAAACU